AGCGAACGCUGGCGGCAUGCUUAACACAUGCAAGUCGCACGGGCGGGGGCAACUCCGUCAGUGGCGGACGGGUGAGUAACGCGUAGGAAUCUAUCCUUGAAGUGGGGGACAACCGUGGGAAACUACGGCUAAUACCGCAUGAUGCCUGAGGGACCAAAGACGAAAGUCGUUUGAGGAGGAGCCUGCGUCUGAUUAGGUAGUUGGUGGGGUAAAGGCCUACCCAAGCCUACGAUCAGUAGCUGGUCUGAGAGGAUGAUCAGCCACAUUGGGACUGAGACACGGCCCAAACUCCUACGGGAGGCAGCAGUGGGGAAUAUUGGACAAUGGGCGCAAGCCUGAUCCAGCAAUGCCGCGUGGGUGAAGAAGGUCUUCGGAUUGUAAAGCCCUUUUGGCGGGGACGAUGAUGACGGUACCCGCAGAAUAAGCUCCGGCUAACUUCGUG
Molecule: ribosomal RNA, 442 nt
Filed under: uncultured bacterium
Lineage: Bacteria
Description: bacterial SSU rRNA
Rfam family: Bacterial small subunit ribosomal RNA
Source: RNAcentral